AUUGAACGCUGGCGGCAUGCUUUACACAUGCAAGUCGAACGGUAACAGGCCGCAAGGUGCUGACGAGUGGCGAACGGGUGAGUAAUGCAUCGGAACGUGCCCAGUCGUGGGGGAUAACUACUCGAAAGAGUAGCUAAUACCGCAUACGAUCUAUGGAUGAAAGCGGGGGACCGUAAGGCCUCGCGCGAUUUGAGCGGCCGAUGUCAGAUUAGGUAGUUGGUGGGGUAAAGGCUCACCAAGCCAACUAUCUGUAGCUGGUCUGAGAGGACAACCAGCGACACUUAGACUGAGACACCGCCCACACUCCUACAGGAGUCGACAGAGUCGAUAGUUGGAGGAGAAGGGCAAGAAAGAACGAGCAACGCCGGCUGCAGGAAGAAAGGCUUCGUGUUGUAAACUUCUUUUAGAAGGAACGAAACGGUUAUGUUUAAUACAAGCAGUUAAUGACGGUACCGUAAGAAUAAGCACCGGCUAACCACGUG
RNAcentral lists this ribosomal RNA (482 nucleotides) under uncultured bacterium. Its description in RNAcentral is "partial 16S ribosomal RNA". It matches the Rfam family "Bacterial small subunit ribosomal RNA", at positions 30 to 507 of the family's 1533-position model. The record is from RNAcentral.